RNAcentral lists this ribosomal RNA (368 nucleotides) under uncultured bacterium. Its description in RNAcentral is "bacterial SSU rRNA". It matches the Rfam family "Bacterial small subunit ribosomal RNA", at positions 1002 to 1374 of the family's 1533-position model. The record is from RNAcentral.
AGAGAUUGGGGCGUGCCCGAAAGGGAACCAGAACACAGGUGCUGCAUGGCUGUCGUCAGCUCGUGUCGUGAGAUGUUGGGUUAAGUCCCGCAACGAGCCCAACCCUUGUCAUUAGUUGCUACGAAAGGGCACUCUAAUGAGACUGCCGGUGACAAACCGGAGGAAGGUGGGGAUGACGUCAAGUCCUCAUGGCCCUUAUGUGUAGGGCUUCACACGUCAUACAAUGGUCGGUACAGAGGGUCGCCAACCCGCGAGGGGGAGCUAAUCCCAGAAAGCCGAUCGUAGUCCGGAUCGCAGUCUGCAACUCGACUGCGUGAAGUGGGAAUCGCUAGUAAUCGCAUAUCAGCUUGCCGCGGUGAAUACGUUCC